GCACCGUGAAACUUGUUUGAAUGAAGGCUGAGGAUCAUUAUAUUGGGAAGCCAUUUUCCCAUCCAUGUUGGUAUAUUUCCAUCAAAGUCAUUCUCUGAGAAAUCAAUUGACCCCAACUNAAUUGACCCCAACUUAGAACAAUUUCUCAGGGACAGAGGUAGCUUUCCAGAGAGAUUGUUUUUCCGUAGGUUCAACGACUGAAGGGAACUCAAAGUUCCCACUGAGUCUGGAAUAUUACCCGAAAAUU
RNAcentral lists this unclassified non-coding RNA (247 nucleotides) under Hevea brasiliensis (rubber tree). The record is from RNAcentral. Lineage: Eukaryota; Viridiplantae; Streptophyta; Magnoliopsida; Malpighiales; Euphorbiaceae.